AAAAACAAUUAUUUUAAAUUAAAUUUAAAUAAUUAAACAACUUUACAUAUAUAUAUAUAUAAUAUUCACCUGUUUAUCAAAAACAUGUCUUUUAGAAUAUAAUUUAAAGUCUGAUCUGCUCAAUGAUAAUAUUAAAUAGCUGCGGUAAAUUGACCGUACAAAGGUAGCAUAAUCAAUAGUUUUUUAAUUGAAAGCUGGAAUGAAUGAUUUGAUGAAAUAUAAACUGUCUCAAAUUUAUUAAUUAGAAUUUUUUUUUUAGUUAAAAAACUAAAUUGAUUUAAAAAGACGAGAAGACCCUAUAGAUUUUUAUAAAAUAUUUUUUAUAAAUAAAUAAAUUAUUUUAUUUUAUUUGAUUUAUUUUAUUUAAUUGGGGUGAUUUUUAAAUUUAUUUAACUUUAAAUUUUUUAAACAAUAAUUUUUGAUUAUUUGAUUUUUUUAUAAAAAUUAAAAGAUUAAAAUACCUUAGGGAUAACAGCGUAAUUUUUUUGGAGAGAUCUUAUUGAUAAAAAAGUUUGCGACCUCGAUGUUGAAUUAAGGUUAAAAUUAAUUGUAGAAAUUUAAUAAUUUUAGUCUGUUCGACUAUUAAAACCUUACAUGAUUUGAGUUCAGAUCGGCGUGAGCCAGAUCGGUUUCUAUCUUUUAAUAAUAAAUAAUUUUUUUGUACGAAAGGACUAAUUAUUAUAAAUAAUUUUUUAAUUGGAAUAAAUUUAAACUUAA
This 717-nucleotide ribosomal RNA is filed under the name Odontocolon albotibiale. RNAcentral describes it as "16S ribosomal RNA". Lineage: Eukaryota; Metazoa; Arthropoda; Insecta; Hymenoptera; Ichneumonidae. The record is from RNAcentral.